AGCAGCCGCGGUAAUUCCAGCUUCAAUAGCGUAUAUUAAAGUUGCUGCAGUUAAAAGCUCGUAGUUGAAUUUCGGGACCAUCAUGUCGGUCGUGCCUCGGUACGUACUGGCAUUGUUAGUUUCUACCUUCUGACGAACCAUGAUGUCAUUUAUUUGGUGUCGUGGGGAAUCAGGACUGUUACUUUGAAAAAUUAGAGUGUUUAAAGCAGGCUCACGCCUGAAUACAUUAGCAUGGAAUAAUGAAAUAGGACGUUCGAUCCUAUUUUGUUGGUUUCUAGGAUUGACGUAAUGAUUAAUAGGGAUAGUUGGGGGCAUUAGUAUUCAAUUGUCAGAGGUGAAAUUCUUGGAUUUAUUGAAGACUAACUUCUGCGAAAGCAUUUGCCAAGGAUGUUUUCAUUAAUCAAGAACGAAAGUUAGGGGAUCGAAGACGAUCAGAUACCGUCGUAGUCUUAACCAUAAACUAUGCCGACUAGGAAUCGGGCGAUGUUAUUCUCAUGACUCGCCCGGCGCCUUAUGGGAAACCAAAGUGUUUGGGUU
RNAcentral lists this ribosomal RNA (537 nucleotides) under uncultured Glomeromycotina. RNAcentral describes it as "SSU rRNA". It matches the Rfam family "Eukaryotic small subunit ribosomal RNA", at positions 569 to 1113 of the family's 1831-position model. The record is from RNAcentral. Lineage: Eukaryota; Fungi; Glomeromycota.